GACAGAGGGUGCAAACGUUGUUCGGAAUUACUGGGCGUAAAGCGCGUGUAGGCGGCUAAGUAAGUCGGGCGUGAAAUCCCACGGCUCAACCGUGGAAGUGCACUCGAAACUGCGAGGCUGGAGUCCUGGAGAGGAAAGCGGAAUUCUCGGUGUAGAGGUGAAAUUCGUAGAUAUCGAGAGGAACACCGGUGGCGAAGGCGGCUUUCUGGACAGUGACUGACGCUGAGACGCGAAAGCGUGGGAGCAAACAGG
This 252-nucleotide ribosomal RNA is filed under the name uncultured bacterium. Its description in RNAcentral is "partial 16S ribosomal RNA". It matches the Rfam family "Bacterial small subunit ribosomal RNA", at positions 524 to 776 of the family's 1533-position model. The record is from RNAcentral.